This 667-nucleotide ribosomal RNA is filed under the name Sonoma sp. JP-2014. RNAcentral describes it as "partial 28S ribosomal RNA". The record is from RNAcentral. Lineage: Eukaryota; Metazoa; Arthropoda; Insecta; Coleoptera; Staphylinidae.
UCCGACUUCCAUGGUCACCGUCCUGCUGUCUUCAGUUACUAACGCCUUUCAUGGUUUCCCAUAAGCGUGGCUUAGGCACUUUAACUCCACGUUUGGUUCAUCCCACAGCGCCAGUUCUGCUUACCAAAAAUGGCCCACUAGGCACAUCUAUAUCCGAUCAACCGGCUUCAGCCCCAGUAAGCCGGAGAUCCCACACAUUUAAAGUUUGAGAAUAGGUUGAGGCCGUUUCGACCCCAAUACCUCUAAUCAUUCGCUUUACCGCAUGUGACUAUGCUUUCUAUAUAUAUAUUUAUAUUUCUCUAAGUUUUUAUGCCCGCUAUCCUGAGGGAAACUUCAGAGGGAACCAGCUACUAGAUAAUUCGAUUGGUCUUUCGCCCCUAUACUCAGAUUUGACGAUCGAUUUGCACGUCAGAAUCGCUACGGACCUCCACCAGGGUUUCCCCUGGCUUCGUCCUCCCCAAGCAUAGUUCAACAUCUUUCGGGUCCCAGCGUGUGGACUCUGAGGGCGCCUCAUCUCGCAAUGAGAACGAGACACCCCGGGAUUGCGAGGCGACUUUUCAGCCGCCCAUCAUCCCAUGGCUGCUCUUUCGAACUCGCCUUUGAUUUCGCUACGCCUUUGGGUUUCGUAAAACCCAAUGGCUCGCCCACAUGCUAGACUCCUUGGUCC